AGAGUUUGAUCCUGGCUCAGAACGUACGCUGGCGGCACGCCUAACACAUGCAAGUCGAACGAAGUAGCAAUACUUAGUGGCAGACGGGUGAGUAACAUGUAGGUAUCUGCCCUUUGGCCUGGAAUAACACGAGGAAACUUGUGCUAAUACCGGAUAAGUCUUUACGGAGAAAGCUUUAUGCACCAUUGGAUGAGCCUGCACUUGAUUAGUUUGUUGGUGGGGUAAUGGCCUACCAAGACUGUGAUCAAUAGCUGAUUUGAGAGGAUGAUCAGCCACAUUGGGACUGAGACACGGCCCAAACUCCUACGGGAGGCAGCAGUGGGGAAUCUUGCACAAUGGAGGAAACUCUGAUGCAGCGAUGCCGCGUGAGUGAAGAAGGCCUUUGGGUUGUAAAGCUCUUUCGUCGGGGAAGAAAAUGACUGUACCCGAAUAAGAAGGUCCGGCUAACUUCGUGCCAGCAGCCGCGGUAAUACGAAGGGACCUAGCGUAGUUCGGAAUUACUGGGCUUAAAGAGUUCGUAGGUGGUUGAAAAAGUUAGUGGUGAAAUCCCAGAGCUUAACUCUGGAACUGCCAUUAAAACUUUUCAGCUAGAGUAUGAUAGAGGAAAGCAGAAUUUCUAGUGUAGAGGUGAAAUUCGUAGAUAUUAGAAAGAAUACCAAUUGCGAAGGCAGCUUUCUGGAUCAUUACUGACACUGAGGAACGAAAGCAUGGGUAGCGAAGAGGAUUAGAUACCCUCGUAGUCCAUGCCGUAAACGAUGUGUGUUAGACGUUGGAAAUUUAUUUUCAGUGUCGCAGGGAAACCGAUAAACACACCGCCUGGGGAGUACGACCGCAAGGUUAAAACUCAAAUGAAUUGACGGGGACCCGCACAAGUAGUGGAGCAUGUGGUUUAAUUCGAAGAUACGCGCAGAACCUUACCAACACUUGACAUGUUCGUCGCAACUCUAAGAGAUUAGAGUUUUCGGUUCGGCCGGACGAAACACAGGUGCUGCAUGGCUGUCGUCAGCUCGUGUCGUGAGAUGUUGGGUUAAGUCCCGCAACGAGCGCAACCCUCACUUUUAGUUGCCAUCAUUAAGUUGGGCACUCUGAAAGAACUGCCAGUGAUAAGCUGGAGGAAGGUGGGGAUGACGUCAAGUCCUCAUGGCCCUUACGUGUUGGGCUACACACGUGCUACAAUGGUAUCUACAACAGGAAGCAAGACUGCGA
Molecule: ribosomal RNA, 1206 nt
Filed under: uncultured Pelagibacterales bacterium
Lineage: Bacteria; Pseudomonadati; Pseudomonadota; Alphaproteobacteria; Candidatus Pelagibacterales
Description: bacterial SSU rRNA
Rfam family: Bacterial small subunit ribosomal RNA
Source: RNAcentral